AACUCGCUACUCCUGGAUAUCUCGUAACUUACUGAUAAUUAGUUUGUUAAACGAUUGCUUCAAAUACAAAAAUCUGAUGUCUGUUAACAAAGUUAUACGGUGCCUUGCGGAGACAUCAGAAAGGGAAAAGGUCUGUGCCAGAAAAUGAAUACGGACGAUACGGUGACCUGAAGUAAUGCGUGAGAAUUCUAACAAGCCUGAGCAGAGAAAACGAGAUUUUUACUGGCGACUAUGGGAAAAUCAAUGACGCCAUAAACGCUGUGGUUAUCGAGGGUAACAGAUGGAUACCAAUCUUAAAUUUUCACUACUGACAACCAUCGGCGCUUUACUGAUGAUUGUUGCAUUCAGCUUCACCGCAGUGCUGCACUGAAAA
Molecule: small RNA, 373 nt
Filed under: Erwinia mallotivora
Lineage: Bacteria; Pseudomonadati; Pseudomonadota; Gammaproteobacteria; Enterobacterales; Erwiniaceae
Description: Enterobacterial sRNA STnc550
Rfam family: Enterobacterial sRNA STnc550
Source: Rfam by way of RNAcentral